This 537-nucleotide ribosomal RNA is filed under the name uncultured bacterium. RNAcentral's name for it is "bacterial SSU rRNA". It matches the Rfam family "Bacterial small subunit ribosomal RNA", at positions 775 to 1306 of the family's 1533-position model. The record is from RNAcentral.
AGAAAAUAGAUACCCAGGUAGUCCACGCCCUAAACGAUGGAUACUAGGCGUAAGAGGUAUCGACCCCUCUUGUGCCGCAGCUAAACGCAUUAAGUAUCCCGCCUGGGGAGUACGGCCGCAAGGUUGAAACUCAAAUGAAUUGACGGGGACCCGCACAAGCGGUGGAGCAUGUGGAUUAAUUCGAUACUAACCGAAGAACCUUACCCAGGUUUGACAUCGAUUGAAAAGCCCAGAGAUGGGCUCCUCCCCCACAAGGGGACAUGAAGACACUUGUUGCAUGGCUGUCGUCAGCUCGUGCCGUGAGGUGUACGGUUAAGUCCGCCAACGAGCGCAACCCUCGUCCUGUGUUACCAGCGAGUAAAGUCGGGGACUCACAGGAGACCGCCGGUGUAAGCCGGAGGAAGGUGAGGAUGACGUCAAGUCAGCAUGGCAGUUACGCCUGGGGCUUCACACAUGCUACAAUGGGCGAAACNGAGGGCAGCAACACCGCGAGGUAGAGCCAAUCCCAAAAAUAGCCCCCAGUUCAGAUUGCAGUCU